RNAcentral lists this long non-coding RNA (238 nucleotides) under Homo sapiens (human). Its description in RNAcentral is "HSALNT0083903". Lineage: Eukaryota; Metazoa; Chordata; Mammalia; Primates; Hominidae. The record is from RNAcentral.
GUAUGAAAUUAGAGAAGAGAAGGACGCAGAUUUCUAUGAGGAUUAAGGAGAAAAGCAUUCUGUGGCUGUAUUUACUCUCUGCUCAUCCUCAGCAAAGGUUCCGUCUGAGAGGCUGCUGAGUUCAUUUCAUCCGGGAUGCACUGAAGACUACCAAGAACCAUUCCAUCCAUGGCCAUCCUCUGGCAGACAUUCUCACCUGGACAUCUCCUCUUUCCACGUGCCUCUUGUCCAGGAUGCA